AUUGAACGCUGGCGGCAUGCCUUACACAUGCAAAUCGAACGGUAACGGGCCUUCGGGUGCCGACGAGUGGCGAACGGGUGAGUAAUACAUUGGAACGUGCCCGAUCGUGGGGGAUAACGAGGCGAAAGCUUUGCUAAUACCGCAUACGAUCUACGGAUGAAAGCAGGGGACCGCAAGGCCUUGCGCGGACGGAGCGGCCGAUGGCAGAUUAGGUAGUUGGUGGGAUAAAAGCUUACCAAGCCGACGAUCUGUAGCUGGUCUGAGAGGAUGAUCAGCCACACUGGGACUGAGACACGGCCCAGACUCCUACGGGAGGCAGCAGUGGGGAAUUUUGGACAAUGGGCGCAAGCCUGAUCCAGCCAUGCCGCGUGCAGGAUGAAGGCCUUCGGGUUGUAAACUGAUUUUGUACGGAACGAAAAGCCUUCUUUUAAUACAGGAGGGUCAUGACGGUACCGUAAGAAUAAGCACCGGCUAACUACGUG
RNAcentral lists this ribosomal RNA (482 nucleotides) under uncultured bacterium. RNAcentral's name for it is "partial 16S ribosomal RNA". It matches the Rfam family "Bacterial small subunit ribosomal RNA", at positions 30 to 507 of the family's 1533-position model. The record is from RNAcentral.